Long non-coding RNA from Hemicordylus capensis (graceful crag lizard), 812 nucleotides. RefSeq lists it as uncharacterized. The record is from RefSeq and is a predicted model, not a curated record. The transcript is spliced from 3 exons. Lineage: Eukaryota; Metazoa; Chordata; Lepidosauria; Squamata; Cordylidae.
CCCCGUGGUCGCCAGCAUGGAUGGGUCCCUCUGCUAAGCUGGGCCCGCCCUGGUUUGCAUUUGCAUGGGAGGCUGCAAGUGUGUGAGCACGCCGGGAAGAGAACGGGGCCGCUCUGGGGAGAGUGUCUGUCUGCUUGCUUGCAGUGCGCGCAGAAGGUUCCUUCCCUGGCGGCACCUCCAAGGUUGAGAGGAACUCCUGCCUGCAACCUUGGGGAAGCCGCUGCCAGUCUGGGUAGACAUUCCCUGAGCUCGGUGGAGCAACGGUCUCACCUGGUAGAAGGCAGCUCCCGGCGUAACUGUUUUCCUGCCCAGCAGCAGAGGCCUUAAAAGACUCUCGAGAUCUUUGCCUGAAAAGCGUAAUAGAAAACUGUUCUCUCUGACAUCCAUGGAUGCUGCUGAAUCACUUGUGGGAUCACUGCUCCAACUCAGCUUUGACAUCCUCACAAGAAUUGUUCCAUCAUACUGUCCAUUAGGGGAGAUUUUAAAAGUGAACAGCAGCAUUCUUCAACGAUAGAGAUAACUUUUUAAAUCAAAACAAAGUGCAUCCCUGAAGAUCUAUGAAAGAGUGAGGUCUGCCUACUAUGUGUGAAAAUAGCAUACAUUGUUUAAAUAUAGGGUAGUUCAAUGUAUUCAGGGAAGGAAGCUAGAGGGUAGUUUGCUGCUUGGUAUAAGUAAAUAUUUCACAAAGUAUAAAGAAAGCAAAACCCAGAUUGUUUACACAGGUGAUGCAGCAGCUGGAAUAUGAGAGCUAACUAAGACAGGGAUUUCAAUUACCAACAGACCUCCUCCUCGAAUUGCAGAUGUUUUAUUAU